Molecule: ribosomal RNA, 1174 nt
Filed under: Campylobacter jejuni
Lineage: Bacteria; Pseudomonadati; Campylobacterota; Epsilonproteobacteria; Campylobacterales; Campylobacteraceae
Description: partial 23S ribosomal RNA
Rfam family: Bacterial large subunit ribosomal RNA
Source: RNAcentral
UAAAAAAAGGUAAGCUACUAAGAGCGAAUGGUGGAUGCCUUGACUGGUAAAGGCGAUGAAGGACGUACUAGACUGCGAUAAGCUACGGGGAGCUGUCAAGAAGCUUUGAUCCGUAGAUUUCCGAAUGGGGCAACCCAAUGUAUAGAGAUAUACAUUACCUAUAUAGGAGCGAACGAGGGGAAUUGAAACAUCUUAGUACCCUCAGGAAAAGAAAUCAAUAGAGAUUGCGUCAGUAGCGGCGAGCGAAAGCGCAAGAGGGCAAACCCAGUGCUUGCACUGGGGGUUGUAGGACUGCAAUGUGCAAGAGCUGAGUUUAGCAGAACAUUCUGGAAAGUAUAGCCAUAGAGGGUGAUAGUCCCGUAUGCGAAAAACAAAGCUUAGCUAGCAGUAUCCUGAGUAGGGCGGGACACGAGGAAUCCUGUCUGAAUCCGGGUCGACCACGAUCCAACCCUAAAUACUAAUACCAGAUCGAUAGUGCACAAGUACCGUGAGGGAAAGGUGAAAAGAACUGAGGUGAUCAGAGUGAAAUAGAACCUGAAACCAUUUGCUUACAAUCAUUCAGAGCCCUAUGUAGCAAUACAGGGUGAUGGACUGCCUUUUGCAUAAUGAGCCUGCGAGUUGUGGUGUCUGGCAAGGUUAAGCAAACGCGAAGCCGUAGCGAAAGCGAGUCUGAAUAGGGCGCUUAGUCAGAUGCUGCAGACCCGAAACGAAGUGAUCUAUCCAUGAGCAAGUUGAAGCUAGUGUAAGAACUAGUGGAGGACUGAACCCAUAGGCGUUGAAAAGCCCCGGGAUGACUUGUGGAUAGGGGUGAAAGGCCAAUCAAACUUCGUGAUAGCUGGUUCUCUCCGAAAUAUAUUUAGGUAUAGCGUUGUGUCGUAAUAUAAGGGGGUAGAGCACUGAAUGGGCUAGGGCAUACACCAAUGUACCAAACCCUAUCAAACUCCGAAUACCUUAUAUGUAAUCACAGCAGUCAGGCGGCGAGUGAUAAAAUCCGUCGUCAAGAGGGAAACAACCCAGACUACCAGCUAAGGUCCCUAAGUCUUACUUAAGUGGAAAACGAUGUGAAGUUACUUAAACAACCAGGAGGUUGGCUUAGAAGCAGCCAUCCUUUAAAGAAAGCGUAAUAGCUCACUGGUCUAGUGAUUUUGCGCGGAAAAUAUAACGGGGCUAAAGU